Molecule: ribosomal RNA, 757 nt
Filed under: Myroides sp. JSM 111003
Lineage: Bacteria; Pseudomonadati; Bacteroidota; Flavobacteriia; Flavobacteriales; Flavobacteriaceae
Description: bacterial SSU rRNA
Rfam family: Bacterial small subunit ribosomal RNA
Source: RNAcentral
GAAUAUGUAGUGUAGCGGUGAAAUGCUUAGAUAUUACAUGGAAUACCAAUUGCGAAGGCAGGUUACUACGUACUUAUUGACGCUGAUGAACGAAAGCGUGGGUAGCGAACAGGAUUAGAUACCCUGGUAGUCCACGCCGUAAACGAUGGAUACUAGCUGUUCGGACUUCGGUUUGAGUGGCUAAGCGAAAGUGAUAAGUAUCCCACCUGGGGAGUACGUUCGCAAGAAUGAAACUCAAAGGAAUUGACGGGGGCCCGCACAAGCGGUGGAGCAUGUGGUUUAAUUCGAUGAUACGCGAGGAACCUUACCAGGGCUUAAAUGUAGAUUGACAGGUUUGGAAACAGACUUUUCUUCGGACAAUUUACAAGGUGCUGCAUGGUUGUCGUCAGCUCGUGCCGUGAGGUGUCAGGUUAAGUCCUAUAACGAGCGCAACCCCUAUUGUUAGUUACCAGCGCGUUAAGGCGGGGACUCUAGCAAGACUGCCGGUGCAAACCGUGAGGAAGGUGGGGAUGACGUCAAAUCAUCACGGCCCUUACGUCCUGGGCUACACACGUGCUACAAUGGCAAGUACAGAAAGCAGCUACCUGGCAACAGGAUGCGAAUCUCCAAAGCUUGUCUCAGUUCGGAUUGGAGUCUGCAACUCGACUCUAUGAAGCUGGAAUCGCUAGUAAUCGGAUAUCAGCCAUGAUCCGGUGAAUACGUUCCCGGGCCUUGUACACACCGCCCGUCAAGCCAUGGAAGCUGGGGGUACCUGAAG